RNAcentral lists this ribosomal RNA (253 nucleotides) under uncultured bacterium. RNAcentral describes it as "partial 16S ribosomal RNA". It matches the Rfam family "Bacterial small subunit ribosomal RNA", at positions 524 to 776 of the family's 1533-position model. The record is from RNAcentral.
GACGAAGGUGGCGACCGUUGUUCGGAAUCACUGGGCAUAAAGAGCUCGUAGGCGGUGAGGAAAGUCGGGUGUGAAAUCCCUCGGCCCAACCGAGGAACUGCGCUCGAAACUGCCUUGCUUGAGGACGGAAGGGGACCACGGAAUUCCUGGUGGAGCGGUGAAAUGCGUUGAUAUCAGGAGGAACACCGGUGGCGAAGGCGGUUCUCUGGGCAUGUCCUGACACUGAAACGCGAAAGCCAGGGGAGCAAACGGG